CCCUUAGAUGUUCUGGGCGGCCCGCGCACUACAUUGGCACUCUCAAUAAGUUCCUAGAUCUAAAACUUUGGGGUAUUCUAUUAAGUGGUGUCGUGACUGGGAUUAACCCUUGCAAUUAUUGGUUACGAACGAGGAAUUCCUUGUAAUCGCGGUUUAUCAGCCCGCGUUGAAUGCGUCCCUGCCCUUUGUACACACCGCCCGUCGCUCCUACCGAUGAAUCGUCCGGUUAAGUUCAUGGAGUGGUGGUUGUUCCAGCUGCUGUCGAAGUGAAAUGGACCUCACGAUUUAGAGGAAGGAGAAGUCGUAACA
RNAcentral lists this ribosomal RNA (309 nucleotides) under uncultured eukaryote. RNAcentral describes it as "partial 18S ribosomal RNA". It matches the Rfam family "Eukaryotic small subunit ribosomal RNA", at positions 1470 to 1796 of the family's 1831-position model. The record is from RNAcentral.